RNAcentral lists this ribosomal RNA (830 nucleotides) under Candida tropicalis. RNAcentral describes it as "LSU rRNA". It matches the Rfam family "Eukaryotic large subunit ribosomal RNA", at positions 72 to 921 of the family's 3401-position model. The record is from RNAcentral. Lineage: Eukaryota; Fungi; Ascomycota; Pichiomycetes; Serinales; Debaryomycetaceae.
GGAUUGCCUUAGUAGCGGCGAGUGAAGCGGCAAAAGCUCAAAUUUGAAAUCUGGCUCUUUCAGAGUCCGAGUUGUAAUUUGAAGAAGGUAUCUUUGGGUCUGGCUCUUGUCUAUGUUUCUUGGAACAGAACGUCACAGAGGGUGAGAAUCCCGUGCGAUGAGAUGAUCCAGGCCUAUGUAAAGUUCCUUCGAAGAGUCGAGUUGUUUGGGAAUGCAGCUCUAAGUGGGUGGUAAAUUCCAUCUAAAGCUAAAUAUUGGCGAGAGACCGAUAGCGAACAAGUACAGUGAUGGAAAGAUGAAAAGAACUUUGAAAAGAGAGUGAAAAAGUACGUGAAAUUGUUGAAAGGGAAGGGCUUGAGAUCAGACUUGGUAUUUUGUAUGUUACUUCUUCGGGGGUGGCCUCUACAGUUUAUCGGGCCAGCAUCAGUUUGGGCGGUAGGAGAAUUGCGUUGGAAUGUGGCACGGCUUCGGUUGUGUGUUAUAGCCUUCGUCGAUACUGCCAGCCUAGACUGAGGACUGCGGUUUAUACCUAGGAUGUUGGCAUAAUGAUCUUAAGUCGCCCGUCUUGAAACACGGACCAAGGAGUCUAACGUCUAUGCGAGUGUUUGGGUGUAAAACCCGUACGCGUAAUGAAAGUGAACGUAGGUGGGGGCCCGUAUGGGUGCACCAUCGACCGAUCCUGAUGUCUUCGGAUGGAUUUGAGUAAGAGCAUAGCUGUUGGGACCCGAAAGAUGGUGAACUAUGCCUGAAUAGGGUGAAGCCAGAGGAAACUCUGGUGGAGGCUCGUAGCGGUUCUGACGUGCAAAUCGAUCGUCGAAUUUGGGUAUAGG